RNAcentral lists this ribosomal RNA (642 nucleotides) under Stauridiosarsia reesi. Its description in RNAcentral is "Dipurena reesi partial 16S ribosomal RNA". It matches the Rfam family "Bacterial large subunit ribosomal RNA", at positions 1795 to 2620 of the family's 2925-position model. Lineage: Eukaryota; Metazoa; Cnidaria; Hydrozoa; Anthoathecata; Corynidae. The record is from RNAcentral.
UUCGACUGUUUACCAAAAACAUAGCCCCUAAAUAAAUUAGAGGUGUAACCUGCCCAAUGAUUAUAAAAUGAAAAAUUUUAAUACAAUUUAAAUAUAAUUUAAAGGACGCGGUAUCUUGACCGUGGUAAUGUAGCAUAAUCACUCGCCAUUUAAUUGAUGGAUAGUAUGAAUGGUUGAACGAAUAUAACACUGUCUCAAGUAGAAAAUAUAUAAAACUGGAAUAAUAGUAAAGAUACUAUUUAAAAUCGUAAGACGAAAAGACCCUAUAGAGCUUAACUAUUAUCUUUUAUAAAAUCACGUAAAUUUAUUUAUAAUAUUAGAAGAUAGGUAGUUUAGUUGGGGCGACUACUUUCUAUAAACAAACGAAAGUAAGCAAAAUUAAUAAAAUAAUUAACUGUAUAAACCUUAACUUUAACAGUUACUAAAGUAGGCUAUAAUGACCCGUUUUACUUAAAGAAUAAAGAAAACGAUCAAUAAAUAAAAGCUACCUUAGGGAUAACAGGAUAAUUUUAUUUUAGAGAUCUAAUCGAAGAUAAAGUUUGUCACCUCUAUGUUGAAUUAAGGUAUCCUAAUAGUGCAGCAGCUAUUGAUGGUAGGUCUGUUCGACCUUUAAAACCUUACAUGAUUUGAGUUCAUUCCGUA